Long non-coding RNA from Leopardus geoffroyi (Geoffroy's cat), 1891 nucleotides. RefSeq lists it as uncharacterized. Lineage: Eukaryota; Metazoa; Chordata; Mammalia; Carnivora; Felidae. The record is from RefSeq and is a predicted model, not a curated record. The transcript is spliced from 2 exons.
GGGUGUAGAGCUUACUUUUAAAAAAAUAAUUAAAAGUUUGUGUGUAUAUAUAUAUAUACACAUAUGUACGUAUGUAUGUAUAUAUAAUUCAAAUACUGUAAAAUUCGCCUGUUUAAAGUAUAUGAUUCUGCAGUUUUUAGUGUAUUCACAAAGUUGUGCAAUGCCACUACUGUAAUUUUGGAACAUUUUCAUCGUCACAAAAAGAAAAACUAUGCCCGUUAACAGUUACUCCCCAUCUUCCUUUCCCCCAGCUCCUGAGAACUACUAAUUUACUUCGUAAUUCUUUUUUUUUUUUUUUUUUUUUUUUUAACGUUUAUUUAUUUUUGACAGAGAGACAGAGCAUGAGCAGGGGAGGGACAGAGUGAGAGGGAGACACAGAAUCCGAAGCAGGUUCCAGGCUCUGAGUUGUCAGCACAGAGCCCGACGCAGGGCUCGAUCUCACAAACCUUGAGAUCAUGACCUGAGCCGAAUUUAGAUGCUCCACCGACUGAGCCACCCAGGCACCCCUAAUUUACUUUGUAUUUCUAUAGAUUUGCCUGUUUUGGACAUUUUAUCAUAUAACUGGAAUCAUACGCUCUGCGGCCUUUUGUGUCUGACUUCUUUCACAUGGCAUAAUGUCUUAAAGGCUAAAGACUUAGCCAUGUCUUUAUGGCUGAAUAAUAUACCAUUGUAUGAAUAUACUACAUUUUUAUCCCAUUAUUUGUCUGGAUAUUUGGAUUCCUUCCAAAUUUGACGAUUUCAAAUAAUGCUACUGUGAACAUUCAUGUACACGUUUUUGUGUGAACAUGUUUUCAUUUCUCUUGAGUAUAUACCUGGGUCAUGUGCUAAUGCUUUUUACGCAUUUGGGGAACUACCAGAGUGCCUGAGCGGCUGCACCAUCUUAAACUUCCACCAUCGUGGAAUCUGCAUCCUCACCAGCAAUGCCAGUGGGUAGGAAGCAGUAUCUCCCUGUGCUUUUGAUUUACAUUUUCCAGAUGAUUAAUGGAUGUUGUAUAUGUUUUCAUGUGCUUACUGGCCAUUUGUGUAUCUUUGGGAGAAUUGGCAGUUCCAAAUCUUUGCUCAUGUUUUAAUUGGGUUGUCUUUGUUAAGUUGUAAUAUUACUUUAUAUAUUGUGGAUACUGUGCUUUUAUCAGUUACAGGAUUUACAAAUAUAUUCUCCCAUUUUGUAGGUUGUCAUUUACUUGGUUGAUAGUGUCCUUUGAAACACAAAAGUUGGUAAUUCUGAUGAAGUCCAAUUUCUUUUUUUUCUUAGGUUGCUUGUGCUCUUGGUGUAAUAUGUAAGGAACCAUUGCCUAAUCCAACGUCAUGAAGAUGUACACUUAUGUUUUCAUCUAAGACUUAAAAUAUCUUAGGUGUUACAUUGAGGGUUUUGGUCCAUUUGAGUUAAUUUUUGUAUAUGGUGGGAGGAAGGGGUCCAACCUUCAUUUCUUUUCACGUGGUUGUUCAGUUGCCUGGCACCAUUUGUUGAAAUGCUAGUUAAUAGAUCCUUUUUUUUUUUAAUUUGUUGAUUUUUUAAUUUACAAAUAAUACAAAUAGAUGGUUAAAAAUUCAGUUCUUACGUAAAAGGGUAUACAGUGAAAAGUAUAUCUUCUCUCAGACGCAAUAACUAUUACCAGUAUGCGUCCGGAGGUAAUUUUAUACCUGUGCAAGCAUGUCUCGGAGAUAAAUUCAUGUCAGUAUACAUAGAUUUUGUAACUUUUGAUAGUUAUAUGUUACUUUAUUGUGAGCAUUACCAUACUUAAUUUGACUGGUAACCUAGUGCUGGACAUGAGGUGGCUUCCAGUUUUUGUGACUACAUAGUGCUUGCAUGACUCUCCUUGCCUUCAGGUCUUAGUACUUAAGAGUUUUGAAUAAUUAACAUACCCUUGGUUUGAAAUUCUCAACUUAGGGA